RNAcentral lists this ribosomal RNA (405 nucleotides) under uncultured bacterium. Its description in RNAcentral is "bacterial SSU rRNA". It matches the Rfam family "Bacterial small subunit ribosomal RNA", at positions 355 to 776 of the family's 1533-position model. The record is from RNAcentral. RNAcentral also lists the same sequence under 1 other name.
UGGGGAAUAUUGCACAAUGGGGGAAACCCUGAUGCAGCGACGCCGCGUGAGUGAAGAAGUAUUUCGGUAUGUAAAGCUCUAUCAGCAGGGAAGAAAACAGACGGUACCUGACUAAGAAGCCCCGGCUAACUACGUGCCAGCAGCCGCGGUAAUACGUAGGGGGCAAGCGUUAUCCGGAAUUACUGGGUGUAAAGGGUGCGUAGGUGGCAUGGUAAGUCAGAAGUGAAAGCCCGGGGCUUAACCCCGGGACUGCUUUUGAAACUGUCAUGCUGGAGUGCAGGAGAGGUAAGCGGAAUUCCUAGUGUAGCGGUGAAAUGCGUAGAUAUUAGGAGGAACACCAGUGGCGAAGGCGGCUUACUGGACUGUCACUGACACUGAUGCACGAAAGCGUGGGGAGCAAACAGG